GAUGAACGCUGGCGGCGUGCCUAAUACAUGCAAGUCGAGCGAACGGACGAGAAGCUUGCUUCUCUGAUGUUAGCGGCGGACGGGUGAGUAACACGUGGAUAACCUGCCUAUAAGACUGGGAUAACUUCGGGAAACCGGAGCUAAUACCGGAUAAUAUUUUGAACCGCAUGGUUCAAAAGUGAAAGACGGUCUUGCUGUCACUUAUAGAUGGAUCCGCGCUGCAUUAGCUAGUUGGUAAGGUAACGGCUUACCAAGGCAACGAUGCAUAGCCGACCUGAGAGGGUGAUCGGCCACACUGGAACUGGGACACGGUCCAGACUCCUACGGGAGGCAGCAGUAGGGAAUCUUCCGCAAUGGGCGAAAGCCUGACAGAGCAACGCCGCGUGAGUGAUGAAGGUCUUCGGAUCGUAAAACUCUGUUAUUAGGGAAGAACAUAUGUGUAAGUAACUGUACACAUCUUGACGGUACCUAAUCAGAAAGCCACGGCUAACUACGUG
Molecule: ribosomal RNA, 497 nt
Filed under: uncultured bacterium
Lineage: Bacteria
Description: partial 16S ribosomal RNA
Rfam family: Bacterial small subunit ribosomal RNA
Source: RNAcentral